RNAcentral lists this ribosomal RNA (206 nucleotides) under uncultured bacterium. Its description in RNAcentral is "partial 16S ribosomal RNA". It matches the Rfam family "Bacterial small subunit ribosomal RNA", at positions 568 to 774 of the family's 1533-position model. The record is from RNAcentral.
CACGUAGGCGGCUUUGUAAGUUAGAGGUGAAAGCCCAGGGCUCAACCCUGGAAUUGCCUUUAAGACUGCAUCGCUCGAAUCAUGGAGAGGUGAGUGGAAUUCCGAGUGUAGAGGUGAGAUUCGUAGAUAUUCGGAAGAACACCAGUGGCGAAGGCGACUCACUGGACAUGUAUUGACGCUGAGGUGCGAAAGCGUGGGAGCAAACA